GGGACAUCAUGUCGGUCGUGCCUCGGUACGUACUGGUAUUGUUGGUUUCUCCCUUCUGACGAACCAUGAUGUCAUUUAUUUGGUGUUGUGGGGAAUCAGGACUGUUACUUUGAAAAAAUUAGAGUGUUUAAAGCAGGCUCACGCUUGAAUACAUUAGCAUGGAAUAAUGAAAUAGGACGUUUGAUUCUAUUUUGUUGGUUUCUAGGAUCGACGUAAUGAUUAAUAGGGAUAGUUGGGGGCAUUAGUAUUCAAUUGUCAGAGGUGAAAUUCUUGGAUUUAUUGAAGACUAACUACUGCGAAAGCAUUUGCCAAGGAUGUUUUCAUUAAUCAAGAACGAAAGUUAGGGGAUCGAAGACGAUCAGAUACCGUCGUAGUCUUAACCAUAAACUAUGCCGACUAGGGAUCGGAUGAUGUUAAUUUUUUAAUGACUCAUUCGGCGCCUUACGGGAAACCAAAGUGUUUGGGUUCCGGGGGGAGUAUGGUCGCAAGGCUGAAACUUAAAGGAAUUGACGGAAGGGCACCACCAGGGGUGGAGCCUGCGGCUUAAUUUGACUCAACACGGGGAAACUCACCAGGUCCAGACAUAGUAAGGAUUGACAGAUUGAGAGC
This 609-nucleotide ribosomal RNA is filed under the name Glomus sp. MS. RNAcentral's name for it is "SSU rRNA". It matches the Rfam family "Eukaryotic small subunit ribosomal RNA", at positions 648 to 1255 of the family's 1831-position model. Lineage: Eukaryota; Fungi; Glomeromycota; Glomeromycetes; Glomerales; Glomeraceae. The record is from RNAcentral.